Molecule: unclassified non-coding RNA, 558 nt
Filed under: Hevea brasiliensis (rubber tree)
Lineage: Eukaryota; Viridiplantae; Streptophyta; Magnoliopsida; Malpighiales; Euphorbiaceae
Source: RNAcentral
CGCCUCUGUGCACGGGAUGGCUACUUCAAAAGUCCCCAUCCUGAACCUCUCCUCUCUUUCUUUAACCUUUCAUAUGGCAAAGGUAAUCCAACCUGAUUGUUGUAAAUCCAAAAGAGGCGGCUGUCCCGACUGUGGUUUGGCAUGGUUAGGCCUUGAGGUAGAUGUGGCCCCCCUUCCUCUUCCUCUGCCCACAGCAGUUGAUGGUGGUGGAGAAAGUUUAGAUGCAAGCUGCUCAUUUUUGCUGGAAGCAAAUAUAGAUCCAAGAUCUGUUGAUUUCUUAUCAUUAUAUGAGUCCAAACUAGACAUAACUUGAUUCUGUUUCAUGAAACGGAUUGAAUUCAGAGGAUUAUGGCCACUAUUCAAACUAACCACAUUCAUUGUAGAAGUCACUUGUUUUGGUCUCAAUGGCUCAAAUGAAUUUUGAUUGUUGAAUGCCCCGCUACUAUGUCCAUUGGCUUGGAAGUUGAUACUGUUGGCAGAGCUUGCAUUCAGACUGGUACCAUAAUUGUUUGCCAAUGAUCCCAAAGAUCCAUUAUUAGAAGUUCCAGAUGCACUGGA